UACGGGGGGAGCAAGCGUUGUUCGGAUUUACUGGGCGUAAAGGGCGCGUAGGCGGUCAGCACAAGUCAGUUGUGAAAUCUCCGGGCUUAACUCGGAAAGGUCAACUGAUACUGUGCGACUAGAGUGCAAAAGGGGCAACUGGAAUUCUCGGUGUAGCGGUGAAAUGCGUAGAUAUCGGGAAGAACACCCGUGGCGAAGGCGGUUCUCUGGGACGGUACUGACGCUGAGACGCGAAAGCGUGGGGAGCGAACAGG
RNAcentral lists this ribosomal RNA (254 nucleotides) under uncultured bacterium. RNAcentral describes it as "partial 16S ribosomal RNA". It matches the Rfam family "Bacterial small subunit ribosomal RNA", at positions 524 to 776 of the family's 1533-position model. The record is from RNAcentral.